This is a long non-coding RNA of Heterocephalus glaber (naked mole-rat), 1175 nucleotides long. The record is from Ensembl. NCBI's taxonomy places the organism in Eukaryota, Metazoa, Chordata, Mammalia, Rodentia, Bathyergidae.
CUUAUCUUGGCAGGUCCAAGGCUCCAGUUUUCUGGGCUCCCUCCUUUUCUGUUUGUUGGAAAGAAAGGACAGAAGGAUCCUGGGAGUGGAAACUGGCCUUUCUGAUUUCCUCUUGGGCUGACCUCUGUCCAGAGCUGAUGGAUGAGGAAUGUGAAAGGACCCUCUCCCACCCGUGCUGAGCACAGGGAGUCCAGCUUCAGGAACUUCCGCUUAUAAAUGCUGCCUUUUAGCAUCUAGGUGAAAAGUUUAACCUAUAAGAGGUGUUCCUGGUUUGAUGUGUUAUUGGGAUGCCCAUCAAACCAGGCGUCCUGGCUCUUAGCAGCUUGCUGAAGAUACAGACCCUGAUUCUGAUUGGCAGGUCUGGGAUGUGUUCUAGCCAGUGAGGAGGGUCCCUGUCUAGGCCCAGCAGGUUCCCAAGGAAGCUGUUGUCUCUGCCAGUCUCAGUCUGUGGGAUUGUGCCCUCAGUGACAGGGAUUGGUAGAGUUGGGGGACAGUCUGGACACAGGCUCAAAGGAUGUUUCCUUUGCCUUUUCCCGGGUCUACUGUUUCAGUGCUCCUGGGCUCUCUGCUCUCUCCCGGACCAGCGCCCACUUUGAGCAGAAUCCUGUUUCGCUGAGCAAGGAACAUCUGGAAAUGUGAAAGGCUCAUUUCAUCCAGAGAUCGGCACAUGCAGUUCGGAGUCUUUCUGGGACACGAAUGAGCAGGAUAGGAAUUUGAGAAGAUAAAAGUGUGUGGGGAGAACAUGUUCAUGUCUUCCUCCAGAGCUCGGGAGCCCUGAAGACCCUGGCUUAGGUGGCCGUGGGCCUUUCUGUCUGUAGAGCCAGUUGUCACCAAGAGGGGUCCAGUCACCAUGAAGCGGACCACAGCUCAGCCUGGGACUUGGAGAAGACAGAAAAGGAAGGGCCUUGUCAAGUGGCGGCAGCCCUGGGGCACUCCAACCUGGGUGUCCUUCAGGGACUGUGAAGAGGAUGAGCACCUUUUCUUUCACCAAGACCCAGGAGGAGUGGGAUAGCGUUUUUCUGACUGAUGUCUUUCCCACUCUGGUGCCUGGUUUCCUCUCAUUCUGACUGCAGUCCCAGCUGCUCCCAAGGAUGGGAGGCAGGGAAAACACAAGCUUGUCUCAUCUGGGUCCACAGCUGCCUGCUGCUGCCUCAAUGCCUGUCCUUCUGCCCUAG